GACGAACGCUGGCGGCGCGCCUAAUACAUGCAAGUCGAACGAGAGCGACCGGUGCUUGCACUGGUCAAUCUAGUGGCGAACGGGUGAGUAACACGUGGGUAACCUGCCCAUCAGAGGGGGAUAACAUUCGGAAACGGAUGCUAAAACCGCAUAGGUCUUCGAACCGCAUGGUUUGAAGAGGAAAAGAGGCGUAAGCUUCUGCUGAUGGAUGGACCCGCGGUGCAUUAGCUAGUUGGUGAGGUAACGGCUCACCAAGGCCGUGAUGCAUAGCCGACCUGAGAGGGUGAUCGGCCACAUUGGGACUGAGACACGGCCCAAACUCCUACGGGAGGCAGCAGUAGGGAAUCUUCCGCAAUGGACGCAAGUCUGACGGAGCAAUGCCGCGUGAGUGAAGAAGGUUUUCGGAUCGUAAAACUCUGUUGUUAGAGAAGAACAAGUGCUAGAGUAACUGUUAGCACC
RNAcentral lists this ribosomal RNA (459 nucleotides) under Granulicatella adiacens. RNAcentral describes it as "bacterial SSU rRNA". It matches the Rfam family "Bacterial small subunit ribosomal RNA", at positions 28 to 473 of the family's 1533-position model. The record is from RNAcentral. Lineage: Bacteria; Bacillati; Bacillota; Bacilli; Lactobacillales; Carnobacteriaceae.